RNAcentral lists this ribosomal RNA (484 nucleotides) under uncultured bacterium. Its description in RNAcentral is "partial 16S ribosomal RNA". It matches the Rfam family "Bacterial small subunit ribosomal RNA", at positions 28 to 507 of the family's 1533-position model. The record is from RNAcentral.
GAUUAACGCUAGCGGCAGGCAUAAUACAUGCAAGUUGAACGGCAGCACAGGUAGCAAUACUGGGUGGCGAGUGGCGCACGGGUGCGUAACACGUAUGCAACCUACCCUAUACAGGCGAAUAACCUUUAGAAAUGAGGGCUAAUACGCCGUAGUAUUACAGAUGGGCAUCUAUUUGUAAUUAAAGAUUUAUCGGUAUAGGAUGGGCAUGCGUCCCAUUAGUUAGUUGGUAAGGUAACGGCUUACCAAGACGAUGAUGGGUAGGGGAUCUGAGAGGACUUACCCCCACACUGGUACUGAGACACGGACCAGACUCCUACGGGAGGCAGCAGUAAGGAAUAUUGGGCAAGGGCCGCGAGGCUGACCCAGCCAUGCCGCGUGCAGGAAGACGGCCUUAUGGGUGGUAAACUGCUUUUAUACGGGAAUAAUAGAGUGUACGCGUACAUUUAUGCAAGUAUCGUAUGAAUAAGCAUCGGCUAACUCCGUG